GUAGGUGGCAAGCGUUGUCCGGAAUUAUUGGGCGUAAAGCGCGCGCAGGCAGUUCUUUAAGUCUGAUGUGAAAGCCCACGGCUCAACCGUGGAGGGUCAUUGGAAACUGGAGAACUUGAGUACAGAAGAGGAAAGCGGAAUUCCACGUGUAGCGGUGAAAUGCGUAGAGAUGUGGAGGAACACCAGUGGCGAAGGCGGCUUUCUGGUCUGUAACUGACGCUGAGGCGCGAAAGCGUGGGGGAGCAAACAGGAUUAGAUACCCUGGUAGUCCACGCCGUAAACGAUGAGUGCUAAGUGUUAGGGGGUUUCCGCCCCUUAGUGCUGCAGCUAACGCAUUAAGCACUCCGCCUGGGAGUACGGCCGCAAGGCUG
Molecule: ribosomal RNA, 371 nt
Filed under: uncultured organism
Description: partial 16S ribosomal RNA
Rfam family: Bacterial small subunit ribosomal RNA
Source: RNAcentral